Molecule: long non-coding RNA, 253 nt
Organism: Eurytemora carolleeae
Lineage: Eukaryota; Metazoa; Arthropoda; Copepoda; Calanoida; Temoridae
Exons: 4
Source: RefSeq, a predicted model, not a curated record
UCCCUGCAGAUUACAGAUUUGUUCUCCUCACACAGGGGUCAACAAAGUUUCUCUACAGAGAUAUCUACAAUCAGAAAUUUCAAGGGUCGUGGAUAAAACAUCUUAAAAAAGUAGGAUUUCAUGAACACCCGGAAUAUUUUGCAGAUCAAUUGCAGAACCAUCUCAUAAGAAUAGCAUACAACAACGUUUACCCUGCAUUCAGAUGUAUAGAUGGAAAGGUGGAUAAAUCUUCAUACGAAGGAUACUACCUUUA